CUUUGGGAAGAAUUGUUCCUCGCGUCGCCGCCGUCGGAUUGAUCCGAUUUGCGCGCGAUUUGGUGAGUAAUCUCACUAAUCCCAUAUUAGUUGGCUAAUUAUGCUUAAGCUUGGUUUAGUUUUAAUUAAUUACGUUUAGGUUGUUAGAUUAGAAUAUAUUAGCAAAUAUUAGUUAAUUGUGAUGCGAUUUAGAUAAAUUGAUUGUGCAAUUAACAAGUAGACGUGGUCUACUAUUUAUUGGAAGCAUCUCGGGAAUUUUCUGACCCCUAAUCGGGCUUCAAUUUGGCGAUUCGGACCUAAGUGGGAUUUUUUUUAGUAUUUAAAUAUUAAUUUUUGGAAUUAAAUUAAAUAAUUAUUUAUUUUCCGAAAAUUCAAGGGAGAUGGUCCGGAACCGGAAUAUUAUGCUGAUGACCGUGGUGAAGUCCGUUUAUUUAAUCAGACUUUAUUUUAAGCUAAAUUGAAUUUUUAAUAUUAAUUCAUUUUCGAAAUUAAUUAAAUAAUUAUUUAUUUUACAAAAAUUCAAUUGGGAUGGCUAGUGACCAGAAAUUUAUGCUGAUGACCGUGGUGAAGUUCGUUUAUUCAAUUGGGCCCUAUUUUGAGCUAAACGGAAUUUUUAAUAUUUAAUAAUUAAUUUUCGAAAUUAUUUAUUUAUUUAUUUACUUUUCAAAAAUUAAGAUUGAGAUGGCCGAUGACCUAAAUCUCGUGCUGAUCGUCGUGACACAGUCCGUUUAUUUAAUUGAGCUUUAAUUUGUGCUGAAUUGAUUUAAUUGUGGAUAUUUAGGAUAUGUUCCUAAAUUGAUUAUUUGAGUAGAUUGAGUACAAAUUAAGGUUGUUGAUAAUUACUUUAGAAAUGGGAUGAAUCAUCAUGAAAGGCACGGGCCUUGAUGAUUAGAUAUAUCACCUCGGAGAAUGCACAUGGCUCGGUGACGAAGUAUGUCGCCUUAGAGAAUGCAUGUGGCUCGGUGAUUAAGUGUGGCAUCUAAAAGGACACGUGGGCUCGGUAAUUUGAUGCAUUACCUCGGAGAAUGCACGUGGUCCCAAUGAGUACACUUGGCAUCUUGAAGAGACACGUGGGCUCGGUGACUUGAUGCAUCGCCUCGGAGAAUGCACAUGGGCUCUCUGAUUCAAAAUGACAUUUUAAAGAGAAAGUGGUCGAGUGGGACCGUAAAGGCAUUGAAUUUUGAAAGUGGUCGAGUGGGACCGUAAAGCCAUUGAGUAUCGAAAGUGGUCGAGUGGGACCGUAAAGCCAUUGAAUUUUGAAAGUGGUCGAGUGGGACCGUAAAGCCAUUGAGUAUCGAAAGUGGUCGAGUGGGAUCGUAAAGCCAUUGAGUAUCGAAAGUGGUCAAUUGGGAUCGUAAAGCCAUUAAAUAUUGAAUGUUGUUGAGUGGUGGGCUGUGUCUUCCACCUUUGCUUAAGAUGUGAUAUGAGGAUCGUAGUUCGUAAUUGAUGAUUGAGAUGGAAUAAUCGAAUUGACCUAGAAUGGUCCAUCUGGCAUGUAAUCGACUAGGUCGAUUGAUUAUUGAUUUGAUUUGAUGUCGUGGAUUGAUUGACUGAUUAGAAAUGACCAUGAGUGGUCUUGUUGGCUUGUAAUCGACUAGGUCGAUUUGAUCGAUGCUUCGAUCGGUGAUAUGAUUGUUUGAGUGCCUAUUAUGAAUUGUACUGACUUGCAGGUGGGAUCUGAUGCUAAGGUACGUCCUCUGCCCUGUGCAUGUUUAGGCAGCCUAUAGUAUAAUAGUUUACUAAUUGGGCUUAGUGGGGUAGAACUCGUUGAGACGUAGUCUCAUCCCAGUUUGGGGAAAAACAUUUCAGGACUCGAUGAGGAGCUGAUGAGGAGGAUUUUGAGAAGGAGAACUCGGAGGUGAAACUUGAGUAGAAGGAUUUUUUUUGAAGAAGAAGAUAAUCCCGAGAGGGGCCUUGAGUAUGGUCUGGAUGGGCUGAGAGUCUAUUUUCUUUUGAGAAUUUCUUUUGAAGUGAAUAGUUAUGAAUUGGUUUGUGUUUUUUAUAAAAGUUUGGUUAUAAAUUUCAAUAUGAAAAAUAUGGCCCUGCUUUUCUAUCCCAUCGUUUUAUUGUCUGGGGAUCUUAACUGCUUUCGCAUGUGCUUAAUAAACGAAAGGGUCGGCGAUACUUUGUCCUGGGAUAUCGCAUUAUAAAAUCGAUCAAGUGAGAAGGAUGUGUGCGUGCCCGAGGAUCGGGGCGUGACAAUUAAUCUAGAUAGUCAUCCCUUCCUCCUUAAUAUCUACAUGAUUUGGACAUUAGAGCAUGUACAAGGUGGAUAUGGCUUCAUAGUUCUACUAUGAAUAGGGCACUUGUUCUUUUCUUUUUCUCCUUGUCUUGUCUGGUGAGUAUUAGAUUUUUUACUACGACGAGACAUGCUUCUCUCCCCAUGAUGUGCACUUUGUAAUUUUCAGCACAUUGCUAUUAUUUGCUUCGUCCUCAAUUAAAUCAGUUUUUAAGGAGUCGCUCUUACACGUUCAUGUACGCAACUGGCUAAUGCAUGAGUGGCAUUCUCUGCAGGUUGUCUUAGUUUCAGCAACCUUCCCCACUGAGAUAUUAGAGAUGACAGGAAGAUUCAUGACCGAUCCCAUAAGGAUUGUUGUGAAGCGUGAUGAGUUGAUGCUGGAGGUGAGCUACAUUGGGUUAGUUGCAUUUGAUGGCGACUAGGGAUCAUGAGAUUCUUCUGACACAAUCCUUCCUUUACUUCGUAUGGUUGCGCGUCGACCAGUACAUGGUGCCAGUGGAAAGAGAAGACUGGAAAUUUGACACUCUGUGUGAUAUAUACGACAACUGCCCCAUACGCCAAGGAGUUGUAUUCUGCAACACUAAGCGGAAGGUACGACCCCAACCACGUUGGGUUCCACACUUGAGGUGGAACAUAAACAUCUCGAUGACUUAGAGAUUCUGAAGACCUCUACUGCUCUAUUUCUCUUUGAUCUAUAUUUUGUGCUAUGGCUCUUCAUGUCCUCCUUAUAUUUGUCGAGCAGGUGGAGUGGCUUGCUGAAAAGAUGCGUGAUUCUAACUUCACUGUGUCUUUCAUGCACAGGGAAAUGCCUCAAAAGGAGAGAGAUGCAGUAAUGGCUGGAUUUCGAUCUGGGGCGACUCGGUUGAUGAUCACCGCCGAUGUAUGGGCUCGAGGGAUUGAUGUUGAGCAGGUUAGUCCUGAAAAUUAACAUCGCAAUAAUGCAGAUGAUGACAUUCUACCGUUUUUGUCUGCCGUGUUCGUAUGUCGGAUGCUUGCUUUUACGGAAGGCCAAAUUUCUUCUUUCCUUGUUGCACCACGACCAUUUAGUUGUGCAAGUGGACCGACUGAAUCAUUCUCAAUACACUCUGGAGGUUUGUCUCGUUGUCAACUAUGAUCUUCCCAACAGCAGAGAGCUGUACGUCCAUCAGGCCGGUCAAGUAGGCCAUUUUGGGCGGAAGGUAACUAUUAUGAACCUUGAAGUGGACGCAACGGCAAUCCUAUUUUCAGUUUUUUGUUCUUGCCGUGGGAAUAACGACAAAUCUCAUCGACAUUGCAAUUUACGAACGCCAAUCCGUGUCUGCUUUUGCAGGGUGUUGUGGUAAAUUUUGUCAAAGACAAGGAGAUCCAGAUUCUUAGAGACAGAGCAGUAUUAUGGCACCCACAUAUGCGAAUGUCCGGAGGACCCUGCCAAUAUAAUAUGACAAGAUAACAAUGGGUACACUUAGAAAGGCCGCGAGAGGUCCGGUUCUUAAUCUAUAGCUUUUACUCCCGACCCAUAUAUUAUCGCAUUGUUUGAUCUUUCGAAAACUUGGAAGCAAUUGGGUUGUGUUUGGAAUGUUUAAUUCGUGUUAGUCCUUUGAGUUCCGAUCCUUGAACACGGGCUCCUACACACAUUUUGUCCACCUUCGUAUUGAUAUUUAAGUUCCCUUAAGAUGAAGUGGUGCUCGACAAUCUCCCAAAAAACCAGACAUCAUCAAUUUCCUCACCCUUUCCCAAAUAAAUAAGUCCAAGGCGUUGACUUCUGGGUGUUCACUAACCUUCAAUUUUCACCGAGGCGCCUAAAACUCUUCGCUAAACUCGUACCAAAAAUAUCACAUCUUUCACCCCCACUUAACGUGAAAACCUUACGCUCCAAAGUUUCAAUCCAAAGUUGGAGUUUAUGGUUAAUAAAAAGUAAUCUUCUUGGUGCUUUUUGAUCUCCAUUUUUCACCAAGGUAUCAUCGGGACUUCUGCUAUUGCUAAGCCGGCGCCAACUCUAUCAUCUUUAAGCUACUCAACAGAAAACCCUUGAGAUUCUAAAAGUUUUUAGCGAAAGUUAGAUAUGUCUUUGACCCACUCAACACCGUGAAUGUCAUGAGAGAUUUUUGUUGCCUAGUCAAGCCGUGACGAAGUUUCUCACUUUAUGCCCUUGUCUAAGCCCAUAUGCUGGGCCCCUAAUCGGGUUUAAUACCCUUACGUGAUUUGGAGAUGCAAACACUUGUGCGCGUUGUUACUUGAGCCCAUCACCAUAGAAUUUUCGUAAUUUUUAAGUUGAAAUCUGAGAUAGGAAAAGAGUUAACCUUGUGUUGGGGGAUAAGUACAGCAAGAGCUCACUGGAGUGUUACUAGUUUCUUCUUGCUCACUUAAGUGCAAAAAUUUUGAAAAAUCGAUCACUUAAGUACCAUCAACGAUUUGUUUCGUUGGAAUAUUCAACGUAGACGCCGGUCAUCCUACGAGACAUUACUGUCAUGAUGUUACCUUGAGUACACCAACUAUGGUUCGACUAAUGAUUUAUUAAGUCUAUACUUAACUCAAGUUCUUCCAAACCCUUGUCAAUUUAUGACUUAAGAGUUCAAGCUAUUAACAUGCAAAUGUUUUUUUUUAUAUAGAAGUCGCCACUAAUCUAUUUAUGAUGGGUCGAUUUGAUAUCAAAGUAAAGUAUUGUGAGAAAAACCUUACUACUACAAACUAAAGAUUGAAUAAAUUUAGGGACUUGAUUACGCUUGAUUACUCUAAUGCUCUUUCGAUACGUUUUCUCAUAUAUUUUUAAAAAUAUUUUGCAGCAGUCUAACUUGAUUUUAACUCUAUCAUUUAACAUGUAAGAUAAUCAUGCGGGUGCACAACUAUUAUUAAACACUAAAUAAAGCAUGGCAACCAAUAAAUUGCAAAUGUAGGGAGUAAAUACUUACCUUGAUGCAACGCAAGCAUUUGCAACAAAUAUUAAUUAGAAACACAUGUUCAGCUUAUAUAUCACUUCUAAUUAUCAUGCAAUUCACUCGACUUUUUUCUUUUAAUAGGAUUUUCGCUUAUUUAAAUGAAGGCUAAGCUACAUGAUGUACAAAAAUAGUUUAUAUUAACAUGACAUGUGACUUUCAAUUAACAUGCAAACUAUAUGACACUCGAUUUUAAUUUAAUGACCUAAUUCUAAUGACGGAUAAUGAUUAAUACGUAACCAUUAUACAUGACAUGCACAUGAUAUUCACUUAAUUAAAUGAAAGGUAAACUAUGUGCAAUGCAUGCAAUGUCGUACAAAAAUAGUUUAUAUAACAUACACAAGACUUUAAAAAAAUAAUAAUAAUCCUAACACACAAACUAUACACACAAUUUAAAUUUAAUGACCUAACUCUAUUGACGGGCAAUGAUUUAUAUGUGACUACUCUACAUGACAUGCAUGUGAUUUUUUUUAAUAUUAAAAUACGUAACAAAAAAUGAGGGAAAUUAACUAUUUGGAAGAAAGAUAAUAUCUAGUUCAAUUUAAGUAUUAAAUUGUGUCAAUUCCUAAUUUGAAUUAGAAUCUUAUCAUGAAUAUUAUAGAAUCUACUUAGACAUGCAAUGUUAUCGAAUAGAGCUAAUUAAUCUACAAGCAAUCUUUUUUUCUUUUUUAAUUUUCAAAUAAGGACAACCAAAACAAUCACACAAAUUACAAAAUAUCAACGAAUUGCCAAAGAUAUCAUCCAUAACUCAAAUUAGAGAAUGAUAUCUAAUUAACUUGAUUAUUCUGCUAAUAAAAUCAAUAAAUUGAUAUUAAAUCUUUGGUCCAUGCCGAGGGACAAAUGUGGCUGCUCAAUAUGCCUUUGUCUUGGAACUAGUGAGCAAGAAUCAUCAAGGCAUGGAUGCGGGGAUCCCACUGAAGAUGCAGGUGUCAUUGAAGAAACAGGCAGAUCAUCUUUGUCAGAUGAUGGUGUAGGUGAUUCAAUUUCUUGAUUGAAAGAAUUUGAAUCGGUUGGAAUAUAUGAUAUAGGGUUUGCUAAAAUGAAAACAUAUUAAGGACUCACAGAUUAAUCCUCUUCCAAUAAGAAUUGACUGUUGUUUGAUUUUGGCAUAGGCGAUUUAGAUGAAGGUGUCAUUUCCUAGAAUGAAAAUAUAUUAAGAACUCAUAGAUUAAUCCUCUUCACAUUGUGGACAGGGAUAACAAUUGCGGUACAUAGAAUUAAGUUCAUGAGUUGUCAGCAAAAAAAAAUUAAAUCGACGAGUCUCUAGUGCUUGUGGGUAUGACUUGAAGGAGUCUUGCAAAGGCAAAUGACUUCCGUUCUUGGCCAUACAAAAGAAAACGAGUGGGAUCAAGAAGUGGUUAGAAAAAUGGAAAAUCAAAUCAAAUAGAAAAACCUCUGUUGAAGGACCCAUCCUCAUUUAUAAAUCUCGCACGUAUUAAAUCAACGCUCUUAUCAAGUUUCCACGUUAACUUUCACAAAACUACGUACUUCUAAUCCAAGGCAUUCUUGUUCAAUGCGGACAUAUAUGGGCUUUUGACCUUUCCGUGAGCACUAGAAUAACUCAUCCUUAUUUAUACAUCUUGGAUUUAUUACCUGUGUUGAUAAAAGACGGGAAUCUGCACGUCUAUGGGCACGUGCAUGUGAAUGUUAUCUACUUUUAUAUGCCUAGUCACCGGCUGACGAGAGAAACAGAUGUUAUCUUAGUUGAAUAUUCGUGCAUAAACCAAAUUCCUUUCAUCCGGACCUAGUAGCUGAAUUCGACUAACUUAUCAAAGUUACUGAAAUGAAUACCCUGCUCGGCUUGGAAAUAUUUUGCCAGCGAAAAAGAAGAAUGACUAAUGUUAGAGUGUUUUGUUAACUUUAUAGACUUAAACAAUGCCAGUCCAAAAGACACAUUCCUUUUGCCUAUCGCCGAGCUACGGAUAGAAUGGAUAUUCCAGCAGCAAUCAAUGCAAGAAUGGAUCCAAAUGGUGGCGAGGAAACGACGGCCUUUAUAAUUCCCAGGGGAAUAUUCCGAUACAAAGUUAUACAUUUUAGGUUCAAAGAAAGCGGGCGCAACGGUCAUGACUUUCCUUCCUAGGGACUUGCUACACUAUAUCAUCUAAUGUUAUGUGGACGAUUUGGCGGUCAAGACUAAAGAUGGGGGCGAUCACCUAAAUGAUCUCUAGCAAAAGAUAUCGGAGCUUGUGGACCAAUGCCGUCUCGACAAUUAAUUAUGUGAGUUCCAUGUUGGAUGAAUUAAUUAUUAGAUCAUACAAUAAUUUUUUCCCACCACACCAGCAAAGACAAUUUUUCACGCGGAAACUGUAUUUUGACUUUCGAGGCAAUAGAGAAUACGUAAUUAUAUAAUUGCAUAUACUUGAAGUUCGUAUGUAUACAUUUAUUUUCUAUGACAUACUCAGGUAUUAUUAUGCUUUUCUUUGGGGAAGAUUGAAGGAUAUGUUAUCUCCAAUAGGUGUGUAUCAUCAAAGAUCUCAAGUGCACAAAUUUAUAAAAGCAGAUGUUGGAUGAAUCUAAGAAUUAAUGGACUUCUUCACGAAUUUUACUCUCCUAGCUUUUCUCUUCAGUAUUUUUUUUUCCUGCUUGCGCAUGCCCAUUUCUCUUCCUCAUUUACUCGCACCUAUUCACCAGCAUCAUACUCAUUGCAACUAAAUGACUGGCAAAUAUGAAAAUAAUCUGACACAUAAGAAUUAUAUAGAAUCAUAUAUAAAAAGAAAUGGAUGAAAGAUAUUUCCAAUCGUAUGACAGCCCCAUACACUUUAAACCUACGAGUUUAAAAGCUGUGAGCAUUGUAAACAAAGAAACUCCAAACACAUUCAAUGUUGGAUCCAAGAAACACUUCUAUAUAUCUCUAUUUCUUAUUCUCCGGACAACCAGGAAACAAGAAAACACUAUUAUCAAUCUUGAAGUUCAAGAACCAUAUCCAAGAAAACAAUUAUUCUCCCAACUACAUAAGUAUACCAUUCUUACCCCCACUAUGCUUCUCUUAACCUUCGGAUGCCCAUAAAAGCAAACGUAUACUCCAUUUUAGAGGAGAAGAUCGUUACGCCAUUAGGCUUCAAUGAAUUCUACGAGGAGCGCAGCACGCUCCUCUUCAGCCCGGGUGAUCUCUUCUCGAAUUUCCUGCACUCUGGCUCGCGUCGCUGCAAUGCGGGCUUCCGGGUGAUUGAUAUUCACGGCCCGCCUAGCACGCAUUAACAAGGCAUUCACUUUAAGGUCGAGCUCCCAUCUGAGACGCCUUAACCUCCUCUCCACCUCCUCAAGCUCGUCUAAAACAACUUGGUCAGUCCUUGGCAUUUUCUCUCCCUCUCUCAGUCUCUCUUAGUGUUUUCCUGGUUCAAGAUAAGAAGGCAGAAGCAAGAAUCAGCUUGAGAUGGUUAACAGGAACUUUCCCCUCAGACUUCAAGAAUGGACCUUAUUUAUACCCGCGGUCACGUCAAUGAUUACGGGAAACUUCAAAACCAAUAAAAGAAGAAAACAUUAUUCCGCUAGAAAUAUUACGUAAUAUUUGUUGCAUAGUUGACCGACUACAUAUUAUAGCCAACUAGAAAAAGGAAACCAUUAUUCCACUCGAAAUUUCGUGAAUGGACCUUAUUUAGAGAGAGCUGUGAUGAGCACUACAAUUAGAUGGACAUAAGUCGUGUGGGAGACGUUCAAUGGGGAAGAUGCGCGUUCCCUGUUCGAAGAAUGCUCCACUCACCAUUUUCAGACUGCUGUAAUUUUAGAGCGGGCCUUCUUAUUCCGGAGUAGAUGUUGAAAAUUAAGAGAGAAACCGACCAACUUCAGAAGUCGCAUUUUUUGGGUCUUUUGUAUGCUGGAUUGGGGUUUCUGAGAGUGGAUUCAUGUGAUUUUCUUUUUUCUUUGGUGGAAUGGAUUCUUGUGAUUGAGGAGCAAUGUUCUGGAGAGAGGAACAGAGAAUUAGCUGAUAAAACCCUCAAGAAAUUAUAUUCAUUUGUCUUUUUCGAGCUGCAACCCUCAUGUAGAAUUUUUCUCGACUAUGGUUCAUGUCAUGUUCGCUUCGGACCUUCCGAAUGUCCCAAUCCCAUGUUAAAGCUGAAAUUUGGUCAACGUGGGAAGUUGAGAGGUUAUAUUCAUUUGCCUUUUUCUGAGAUGCAACCUUCUUGUUUGAUUUUUGCCGAUUAUGGUUCAUGUCAUGUUGGCUUUGGACCUCCAAAAGGAUAAAUUUUUAGGUUACACGUCAAGUAUGCUAUUAAGGUCAGGAUGUGGUUAGAAAAAAGAAAAAUCAAAUCAAAUCAAAUCAAAAAAACCCGCGUUGAAGAACCCAUCCCUAUAUAUACAUCUUGCAUUUAUUAAAUCAACUGUCUUAAUAAGUUUCCGCGUGAAAGUUCAUCCCCAUCUAUACACCUUGCAUUUAUUAAAUCAACUCUCUUACUAAGUUUCCAUGUGAAAGUUCAUCCCCAUUUAUACACCUUGCAUUUAUUAAAUCAACUCUCUCACUAUGUCAUCAUAUUAACUUUGACAACACUAUCAAGGACAAACGUUUCAAAUAUGAUCAGUGGCAUCUUCUCCCCGGUUGCUUUUUGGGUUGAGGGUUGCUUAAAUAAGGAGCAUCAGACGUUCAUCGAGAGCCCCGCAUAGCUCAAUGUAGAAAGUGUGAUGCCAGAUCUUUUCCAUAUCGUCCCAAUUGCUGGCAAUUCCACUCUCCAUAGGGUACUUCAAAGUAAGCAUGCCCCUUUUAGAUUGGGCCUCAUCUCCAACAUAAGUAACCCUAUGGCCCAUACUAACCAUGUCAACAGGGUGCCUCGAUCGACAAACCAUACUGGGGAAGACAACCCUUGGAGCAUCAUCUCCAGCAAAAACAGCCUGUCAAAUUCAGGCUAUUACGUGAGCACAGAUACCACCAUGCACUCUAGGAAAGCCCAUAGCAAUGGACCGGUGCAUCAAUAUUCCCACCUUAACCAUGUCAAAUCCAUUAUCAACACCAAGAGGCUGAACGUCUUCGGCAUCUGCCAUCUCCUUAUGCUAAUCAAAGGAAAAGCUCUACAUGAUUAAUACAGGUAAAUAUCAAUGUCCAAGUAAGAUCCACGUAGGUAAGUUCUAAUGGAUCCACGAUAACGUUUUAUCAUAUAAUUAUCCUAGGGAUAAUAUAUAGCUGUAUAAUGAACUGCACUGAUCCAACGAAGCUAAUUGAAUAGAGCUUUUGUGCAGAUAACAAGAACAAAGAUACCUCUAGUAGCUUUUUAAUUUCAAAAAAAAAUUAAAGCCUUAAGGAUAUAUUUUCAAUUACGCAGGCUCUAUCCCUCACUGUCCAACAGAAAAACAAUGAAAUACUAAAUCCAAAUAACACGCUGACCAGGAAAAAAAAUCAAGAAUUUUUGAAGAAAUCCUUUAACUACCAUAACAGUACAGGAGAAAGGAUAAUAGAGAGUGACAGGAAUCUUAAAAAUAUUCUUGAAUUACGGUCGUCGAGUUCAACAAUCAUGCUUUAAUUGUUGAUCACGCCUUAACUCGAAACACCAUAGCAGCUCGCACACCAACUAUGCAUCUAUCCAUGAAAGGAAUCUCCUCUCGAUGCCAUGAAACAAAUUAAGCUAAAUCAUCCCAAUUUCCACUCUUGGUCACGCACAAUCCGUUGAUUCUGGGAAAGCUCCACAUGCUUUCAACAAUCGGCAAGCCUUCACCCAGUCCGAUUCGGUAAAAUUCAAUGGCAAAUCGCCUAAAUCAGCUCCUAAGCCUCCAAAAUUCGACUAGUAACAUGGCCGCGAAUUGGUCAAAACAAACGAAGGAAUGAAAUCCAACUUCAAAUUACAUUAAAAAAAAAAAAUAUGGUCGCAUUCCAUUCAAUUUACCAUUUCAUUCUCCGAUUCAGAAUCGAGUGACAAAAUCCAAAACAGAAGCAGAGAGACAAGCUUUAGUUCGGAGUUCAGAGACGCCCAACAACAUAAUCGUUUUAGUGUCAUCCACGGUAAGAAAGGUUCUAGAGUCUUACGUGUUAUAUUAUUUAAUAUUCAUGAUAGUAUACCAUUUAUUCGUGUGUUAUCUUAGGUUUUCAAUUUAUUAGGCAAAAGAACGCUUCAAGUGCCAUAACUUUGCACAAAUGGACACUUAAGUGUCAUAACUUACGAAAGCUACACUUAAGUGCCACAUUCGAAGAAAAACGGAUCAUUUGAGUGCCACUCCAGCCAAAGUCCAGCCAAAACUUGACGUGGCAUUUUUCUGGCAAAGAGCGCCCAAAACACACCGUUUUGCACGCUGACGUGGCCAAAUAAUACAAAAUGACGACUUUUUGGGCUGAUGUGGUAAAAAAUUAAUAAAAAUUAAUUAAAUUUAAAUUAAAUUUAAAUUUUGUUAAAAUUUUAAAAAAUAAUAAUUUAAAAUUUUUAAAAAAUUUAAAAAAAGAAAGUAAAGGGUGGUGGCAGCUAAGCGAUCAGCCCUCAGCCACCGGCAUCGCCGGGCCGACGACAGCGGGGAGAUGUUCAGCGAUCACCCACGGUCCUCGCCUAAAUUCGGCGAGGGUCAGCAGCCCUUGGCCCGGUUGAGCGAGGGCCAUCGACCCUCGCCCUAAUCUGGGCAAGGGUUGUGACCCUUGCCCCGAUAUAGGGCGAGGGCUCGCAAGCCCUCGCUGCCGGUCGGCCAGGGCCGAUAGCCCCUGGCCAGGGCCCAGCGACCUCGAUCGACCCUCCCCGCUGUCACCGGCCCUUCCCGGCGGCGGCGGCUAAGGGUUGAUCCUUCAAUCGCCUCCCCCCCUUUCUUUUUUUAAAAAAUUUUUAAAAUUUUAAAUUAUUGGUUUAAUAUUUUAACUAAAUUUAAUUUAAAAUUAUUAUUUUUAAAUAUUUUAACUAAAUUUAAUUUAAAAUUAUUAUUUUUAAAUAUUUUAACUAAAUUUAUUUUUAAAUUAAUUUUUAUUACUUUUUUAUCACGUCAGCCCAAAACAACGCCGUUUUUGCAUUAUUUGGCCACGUCAGCAUGCAAAACAGCGUCAUUUUGGGCUCGAUUUGCCACAAAAAAUGCCACGCCGGCGUUUCGGCCGAACUUUGGCGGGAUUGGCACUCAAGUGAUCCAUUUUACUCCGAUUUUGGCACUUAAGUGUACUUUUCAUAAGUUAUGGCACUUAAGAGUCACUUUGUGCAAAGUUAUGGCACUCCUGGGGUCUGCACGUCCAAUUUAUUACAAAAUAAAGUAUUGUGAGAAAUACCUUACUACUACAAACUAAAGAUUGAAUAAAUCUAGGGACUUGAUUACGCUUGAUUACUCUAAUGCUCUUUCAAUACAUUUUCUCAUAUAUUUUUAAAAAUAUUUUGCAAUAGUCUGAGUUGAUUUUAAUUCUAUCAUUUAACAUGUAAGGUAAUCAUGCAGGUGCGCAACUAUUAUUAAACAUCAAAAAAAAAAAGCAUGGCAACCAAUAAAUUGCAAAUGUAGGGAGUAAAUACUUACCUUGAUGUAACGCAAGCAUUUGCAACAAAUACUAAUUAGAAACACCUGUUCAACUUAAAUAUGACUUCUAAUUAUCACGCAAUUCACUCAACUUUUUUUUUAUUAUUAUAGGAUUUUAGCUUAUUUAAAUGAAGGCUGAGCUACACAAUGUACAAAAAUAGUUUAUAUUAACAUGACAUGUGACUUUCAAUUAACAUGCAAACUAUAUGACACUUAAUUUUAAUUUAAUGACCUAAUUUAAAUGACGGACAAUGAUUAAUACGUAACUAUUAUACAUGACAUGCACAUGAUAUUCACUUAAUUAAAUGAAAGGUAAACUACGUGCAAUGCAUGCAAUGACGUGCAAAAAUAGUUUAUAUAACAUACACGUCAAGUAUGCUAUUAAGGUCAGGAUGUGGUUAUAUUCAUUUGCCUUUUUCUCAGAUGCAACCUUCUUGUUUGAUUUUUGCCGAUUAUGGUUCAUGUCAUGUUGGCUUUGGACCUCCAAAAGGAUAAAUCUUUAGGUUAAACGUCAAGUAUGCUAUUAAGGUCAGGAUGUGGUUAGAAAAAAGAAAAAUCAAAUCAAAUCUAAUCAAAUCAAAUCAAAUCAAAAAAAUCCGCGUUGAAGAACCCAUCCCUAUAUAUACAUCUUGCAUUUAUUAAAUCAACUGUCUUAAUAAGUUUCCGCGUGAAAGUUCAUCCCCAUCUAUACACCUUGCAUUUAUUAAAUCAACUCUCUUACUAAGUUUCCAUGUGAAAGUUCAUCCCCAUUUAUACACCUUGCAUUUAUUAAAUCAACUCUCUCACUAUGUCAUCAUAUUAACUUUGACAACACUAUCAAGGACAAACGUUUCAAAUAUGAUCAGUGGCAUCUUCUCCCCGGUUGCUUUUUGGGUUGAGGGUUGCUUAAAUAAGGAGCAUCGGACGUUCAUCGAGAGCCCCGCGUAGCUCAAUGUAGAAAGUGUGAUGCCAGAUCUUUUCCAUAUCGUCCCAAUUGCUGGCAAUUCCACUCGCCAUAGGGUACUUCAAAGUAAGCAUGCCCCUUUUAGAUUGGGCCUCAUCUCCAACAUAAGCAACCCUUGGGCCCAUACUAACCAUGUCUGGGGAAGACAACCCUUGGAGCAUCAUCUCCAGCAAAACCAUCUUGUCACAUUCAGGUUAUUACGUGAGCACAGAUACCACCAUGCACUCCAGGAAAGCCCAUAGCAAUGGACCGGUGCAUCAAUAUUCUCACCUUAACCAUGCCAAAUCCAUUAUCAACACCAAGAGGCUGAAUGUCUUCGGCAUCUGCCAUCUCCUUAUGCUAAUCAAAGGAAAAACUCUACAUGAUUAAUACAGGUAAAUAUCAAUGUCCAAGUAAGAUCCACGUAGGUAAGUUCUAAUGGAUCCACGAUUACGUUUUAUCAUAGAAUUAUCCUAGGAUAAUACAUAGCUGUAUAAUGAACUGCACUGAUCCAACAAAGCUAAUUGAAUAGAGCUUUUGUGCAGAUAACAAGAACAAAGAUACCUUUAGUAGCUUUUUAAUUUCAAAAAAAUUAAAGCCUUAAGGAUAUAUUUUCAAUUACGCAGGCUCUAUCCCUCACUGUCCAACAGAAAAACAAUGAAAUACUAAAUCCAAAUAACACGCUGACCAGGAAAAAAAAUCAAGAAUUUUUGAAGAUCCUCCAACUCAGGACUGAGUGUCGAAGCUCCUUCUAUUGGAGAAUUGGGAAUGGUUGCUCGGUAUCCCUCUGGUUUGAUAACUGGCACCCCAGGGGCCCUUUGAACUUGUACUUUUCAGACUCGGCCAUAUAUGCAUCUGGCAUUCCUAGGCAGGCGACAGUGACGGACCUAUUCACUAAUUGUGGAGCUAUCAUUAAGGGGGUCUUGGACUCUUGGGCGAAUCCCCUUCCCACCCUCUCCCACUCUUCCAAUCGUUUCGGCUGGAAGGGAAAUACCUCCCAUCUCUUUACGGUGGCUUCGGCGUGGGAUUUGAUUAGGAGGAGGAAGACUCGGGUCUCCUGGCACACAUUCAUUUGGAACAACUCCAUCACUCCAAGGUACCAAUUUAACCUUUGGCUUAUUGCCAAACACAGGCUUCCUACCCAAGCUCUAUUAUUAUCUUAUGGUAGGAUAGAUAGUGCCUUGUGUCCAUUAUGCAAUGAGGUACCGGAUUCUAUAGACCACCUAUUUUUUGGCUGCCGCAUCUCCGCUAGCAUCGCCUUCUUUUGGGCCUCUAGGUGCAAUCUUCCGUGGCAAAACAAUUCGUGGGUCGAGAACCUCAAUUGGGCCGCCACUUUCCUUAUGGGUAAAGACUUUUAUAAGUGCAUUGCUCGCUUCUCUUUUGGUGCUCUUUGUUACUACAUAUGGAAGCACAGAAAUAGCAUCCUAUUUCGAAAGCAAAGCUUAUCCGUCCCAGAGGUGAAGAAUCAACUCAUCAAGGUUGUCAGAGACAAGGCCACCACCUACAGGAAUGUGGAUGAUACAUAUAGAAACCGGAGGCUACAGCGUAGCUGGGGUAUUGAUCCAAUCAUUUUUUCAGCUAGGGACUCUUCUACUUCUGCAGGGCCCUAGCCUGGUGUUUGCUGUUUGGAUACUCUUCAUCUUCACGGCUACUUCCUUGAUGGUUCUUCACUUUUGUCGCUACCGGAUGUAUGCGUAGUUUGUGGUUCUCUUGGCCUUUCGUGGCCUUCUGUUGCCUUUUGCCUUAUGUGGCUGGCUUGCUUACUUAGGCCCGCUCUUGCGGUCCUCUUUUGCAUUCGACUCCCUUCCACUCACCCUGACUUGUUGUAUUGUUGAGUGCAAGUUGUGGUGUCGGAUCUUUUGUAUUUUUUGGUUAAAGCUCAAUAUAUUCUUACCUUUCACCCAAAAAAAAAUCAAGAAUUUUUGAAGAAAUCCUUUAACUACGUAACAGUACAGGAAAAAGGAUAAUUGAGAGUGAUAGGAAUCUUAAAAAUAUUCUUGAAUUACGGUCGUCCAGUUCAACAAUCAUGCUUUAAUUGUUGAUCACGCCUUAACUCGAAACACCAUAGCAGCUCGCACACCAACUAUGCAUCUAUUCAUGAAAGGAAUCUCCUCUCGAUGCCAUGAAACAAAUUAAGCUAAAUCAUCCCAAUUUCCACUCUUGGUCACGCACAAUCCGUUGAUUCUGGGAAAGCUCCACAUGCGUUCAACAAUCGGCAAGCCUUCACCCACUCCGAUUUGGUAAAAUUCAAUGGCGAACCGCCUAAAUCAGCUCCUAAGCCUCCAAAAUUCGACUGGUAACAUGGCCGCGCAUUGGUCAAAACAGACGAAGGAUCAAAAUCCAACUUCAAAUUACAUUAAAAAAAUGGUCGCAUUCCAUUCAAUUUACCAUUUCAUUCUUCGAUUCAGAAUCGAGUGACAAAAUCCAAAACAGAAGCAGGGAGACAAGCUUUAGUUCAGAGUUCAGACACGCCCAAGGCCAUAAUCAUUUUAGUGUCAUCCACGGUAAGAAAGGUUCUAGAGUCUUACGUGUUAUAUUAUUUAACAUUCGUGAAGGUAUACCAUUUAUUCAUGUGUUAUCUUAGGUUUUCAAUUUAUUAGGCAAAAGAACGCUUCAACUGCCAUAACUUUGCACAAAUGGACACUUAAGUGCCAUAACUUACGAAAGGUACACUUAAGUGCCACAUUCGAAGAAAAACGAAUUACUUGAAUGCCACUCCGGCAAAAGUCCGCCCAAAAUAUUGACGUGGCAUUUUUCCGGCAAAGCGCGCCCAAAAUGACGCCGUUUUGCAUGCUGACGUGGCCAAAUAAUACAAAAACGACAUCGUUUUGGGCUAAUGUGGUAAAAAAAUAAUGAAAAAUUAAUUAAAUUAAAUUGAAAAUUAAAUUUAGUUAAAAUAUUAAAAAAUAAUAAUUAAAAAAUUUUAAAAUUUUAAAAAAAUUAUAAGAUAAAAGAAGGAAAGGGGAGAGGCGGCUGAGGGAUCAACCCUCAGUUGCCGCUGUCGCCGCCGCCGCUGCCCGUCAUCGCCGAGAAUGGCCGAUGAUGCCAGGGGGAGGGUCGACCGAGGUCACCAGGCCUUAGCCAGGGGCCGGUAACCCCGGCCGACCGGUGGCGAGGGCUCGCGGCCCUCAUCCAGAUCCGGCGAGGGUCGACGGCCCUAGGCUCGGCCGGGUGACGGCUACCGACCCUCGCCCUAAUCUGGGCGAGGGUUGCAACCCUUGCCCUAAUCUGGGGCGAGGGCUCGCGAGCCCUCAUCCCCAGUCAGCCGGGGCCAAUAGCCCCUAGCCAGGGCCUAGCGACCCCAACCGACCCUCCCCCCGUCGUCGCCACCCCUUCCCAGUAGCAACAGGGCGGCGGCAGCAGGUCAAGGCUAAUCCCUCAGCCGCCUCCCCCCCUUUCUUCUUCUUCUUCUUUUUUUUUAAAUUUAAAAUUAUUAUUUUAAUAUUUUAACUAAAUUUAAUUUAAUUAAUUUUAUUAUUAUUAUUAUUAUUUUACCACUUUAGCCCAAAACAACAUCAUUUUUGCAUUAUUUGGCCACAUCAGCGUGCAAAACGGCGUUGUUUUGGGCUCGAUUCGCCGGAAAAAUGCCACGCUGGCGUUUUGGCCGGAUUGGCACUCAAGUGAUCCAUUUUACUCUGAUUUUGGCACUUAAGUAUACAUUUUGUAAGUUAUGACACUUAAAUGUCCCUUUGAGCAAAGUUAUGGCACUCUAGGGGUCCACACGUCCAACUUAUUACAAAGUGAAAGUUAAUGGAAAAAUAUAUAGUAUAUAUUUAUAAGCGGCCUUCUUAGAAAAGUGUACAUGUCCAAUGACCAAUUUCUAGAGCAGCAAAAAUAAAGACUCAACCCAAUAGAGGAAACACAACGUUGAUAUUCAAACAAAAAUGUGAAGCUGAAUAAAAGGAAAAUAGUCAAACGAAACUUUCACUAAGAAUAGGAAGCAUUAAAUAAGUCCGCUAGAAUUGUAUUAAUAUAUAUCUAGGAUAAGUACAUUGAAAAUUUUUAAACUUGUCAAGAAAGUACAAUUACGUUUUAAAACUUUCAAAAAGUGCAAUUGAGUUUUAAAACUUAUCGAGAAUGUACAAUCAAGCUGUAAAACUUUCCAAAAGUGUAAUCAAGUUCUAAAACCAUUCACAAAAAUGCAACCGAGUCAUAAACUUUUCAAAAAGUGCAGUUAAUGAAAAUAUUCGAUUUAACUAAUUUGACAAAUUUUAUAACUCGAUUGUAUUUUCUGAAAGUUUUAUGCCUCAAUUGCACUUUCGCGAUAAGUUUUAUGAGCCCCCAAUAUCUUUAUUUCUACAUAUUUCCAUACUCAUUUCAUAUUGUGAGACAAAAAUUAAUGAUAUUUAAAUAAUAAAGGAAAUAACUUUAGAGUUUUUAUAGUACAUUUUCAAGUGGUUAAAUUGACUUAAGAAAAGGUUUAUUUUGCGUACAACCAUCCCAACUGAUGAUUAGAUAAUUGUAAUAAAAUCACCAAACAUAUCAAUCAACUCAAACUAUAGAAAACAUAAUAUUGAUAUUCAAACAAAAAUAUGAAGCUGAAUAAAAGGAAAAUACUCAGACAAAACUUUCAAUAGAGAAUAGUAAGAAUUAAAUAAUUCUCACCGAGAUUGUAUUAAAACAUAUUUGGGAUAAGUAUGUUGAAAAUUUUUAAACUUGUCUAGAAAGUACAAUUACAUUUUAAAACUUUCAAAAAGUGCAAUCAAGUCUUAAAACUUAUCACUAAUGUAUAGUCAAGUUGUAAAAUUUUUAAAAAGUGUAAUCAAGUUUUAAAAUUUGUCACAAAAAUACAAUCUAGUAUAAAAAUUUUAAAAAGUACAGCGAACGAAAGAAUUCGAUUUGACCAAUUUGACAAGCUUCAUAACUUGAUUGCACUUUUCGAAAAUUUUAGGCUUCGAUUGCAUUUUCACGGUUGGUUUUAAGACUUAAUUCCAUUUCUUGUUAUGACUCGAUUGUAUUUUCGCAAUGAGUUUUAGGACCCCAAUACACUUAUUUCUACAUAUUUUCAUACUCAUUUCAUAUUGCUAGACAAAAUUAACGAUAUUUAAAUAAUGAAAGAAAUAACCUUGGAUUUUUUUAGUACAUUUUCAAGUGGCUAAAUUGACUUAAGAAAAGGUUUGUUUUUGGUACAACCAUUCGAAUGGUGCUUAGAUAAUUGUAAUAAAAUGAUAAAAACAUAUCAUUAAACUGAGAAUAUAGGAAACAUAAGAUUGACAUUCAAACAAAAAUGUGAAGCUGAAUAGAAGGAAAAUACUCAGACAAAACUUUUGACAGAGAAUAGUAAGAAUUAAAUAAUUCUUGUUGUGAUUAUAUUAAUAUAUAUUUGGGAUAAGUAUAUUGAAAAUUUUUAAAAGUGCAAUUACAUUUUAAAACUUUCAAAAAGUGUAAUCAAGUGUUUUAAAACUUAUCACGAAUGUAUAAUUAAAUCAAAAAACUUUCAAAAAGUAUAAUAAAAAAUUCUAAAUUUGGUAAUGAAAAUGCAAUCGGGUCAUAAAAUUUUCAAAAAGUACAGCUAACGAAAGGACUCGACUAGAUCAAUUUGACAAGCUUAUAACUCGAUUGCACUUUUUGAAAAUUUUAUGUUACGACUGCACUUUCGCAAUAAGUCUUACAACUUAAUUGCACUUCUUGAAAGUGUUAUGACUCGAUUCUAUUUUCAUAAUAAGUUUUAAGACCCCCAAUACGCUUAUUUCUACAUAUUUUCAUACUCAUUUCAUUUUGCAAGACAAUAUUAAUGAAAUUUAAAUAAUGAAAGAAAUAACUUUUAAUUUCUUUUAGUACAUUUCCAAGUGGUUAAAUUGACCUAAGAAAAGGUUUUUUUUUUCGUACAACCAUUCCAACUUAUGCUUAAAUAAUCAUAAUUAAAUCAUCAAAACAUAUCGAUCUAAUUAGCUAGAUCAUUAACACGCAUUUAGAAUCCAAGGGAAACAUUUAAAGUACAAGAUCAGUAGUGAAAUUCGCUUUAGAAGUUCAUACAUGGGGCAUGUCUAUUAUUAAUGCUAACUCAACGAAUUUUGGGCAUAUUUUGCAUUGAAAUUUGAUGAAAUUAUCAAAAUUUCCGUUGGAAAUUAGGAUUAUAAGUGAAAGGCCCAGCGAUGAGAUCUCCAAGGUCAAAAACAUGUAAUUUCCCAAGCUGUCAUUUUGCAUAAUUUGAUUUUCAAGGUCUUGACCGAAAAAAAAUAGGAUUAAUGUCAUGAAAAAUCUCAAAUCCAUACGCAUGUGACAAAUUUAAACUAAACUAUUUUUUUUUUGUACCAUAGAAAACCUCACAAUUAAUACACAUGCGACAAUUUUACCCUCCACUAAUUUCUUUUAAAUUCUAUAGUCAAAUUACCAAAUUAGACAAGACAUGGCAGUUGACGAGUUAGCGAUUUAGGGUUUGACCCUGCAUUUGUCAUAUGUACAAUAUUUUGUACUUUUUACAGUAUUGAUACAAUUUAAUAAAUAUUAAUGUAUGAUAAAUUUGUCAUAAAUGCACUGAAUAAAAGUUUUUGAUGCUAAAAAAAUUAGUUUAAUAGUCAAAAAUUAUAUUGGGGCUUUUUAUGGUACUAAUAAAGUUACUAAUAAAGAAAAUCUUAAUUUUUAGAGAUACCAAUCACACAUAACACGAUGGAAUGAAAUUAAAUUUUUUCUAAUAUGGUAACAGGUGUCUAGCUUAUUUUUAUAAUAAAGUCAUUUUGGAAAAAAUUGCAAUACCCAUAGUUUAACUGUUUUGAAGUGACUUGAUUUUUUUUUUUUUUUAGCUUUUCUCAGUCAAAGAUAUUUUCAAAAUUUAGAAAAUCCAAAAUGAAGGUGCAAAAUCGUAUGCGAUUUUUAAAUGCAAAUGUUAUUUGAGACAAUGUUCAUUUCAUGAUUUUAUUUGUUAAAAUCAGGAUAUUUUAUUUGAGCAAUGGACCGGUGCAUCAAUAUUCCCACCUUAACCAUGUCAAAUCCAUUAUCAACACCAAGAGGCUGAACGUCUUCGGCAUCUGCCAUCUCCUUAUGCUAAUCAAAGGAAAAACUCUACAUGAUUAAUACAGGUAAAUAUCAAUGUCCAAGUAAGAUCCACGUAGGUAAGUUCUAAUGGAUCCACGAUAACGUUUUAUCAUAUAAUUAUCCUAGGGAUAAUAUAUAGCUGUAUAAUGAACUGCACUGAUCCAACGAAGCUAAUUGAAUAGAGCUUUUGUGCAGAUAACAAGAACAAAGAUACCUCUAGUAGCUUUUUAAUUUCAAAAAAAAUAAAGCCUUAAGGAUAUAUUUUCAAUUACGCAGGCUCUAUCCCUCACUGUCCAACAGAAAAACAAUGAAAUACUAAAUCCAAAUAACACGCUGACCAGGAAAAAAAAUCAAGAAUUUUUUAAGAAAUCCUUUAACUACCAUAACAGUACAGGAGAAAGGAUAAUAGAGAGUGACAGGAAUCUUAAAAAUAUUCUUGAAUUACGGUUGUCGAGUUCAACAAUCAUGCUUUAAUUGUUGAUCACGCCUUAACUCGAAACACCAUAGCAGCUCGCACACCAACUAUGCAUCUAUUCAUGAAAGGAAUAUCCUCUCGAUGCCAUGAAACAAAUUAAGCUAAAUCAUCCCAAUUUCCACUCUUGGUCACGCACAAUCCGUUGAUUCUGGGAAAGCUCCACAUGCGUUCAACAAUCGGCAAGCCUUCACCCAGUCCGAUUCGGUAAAAUUCAAUGGCAAAUCGCCUAUAUCAGCUCCUAAGCCUCCAAAAUUCGACUGGUAACAUGGCAGCGCAUUGGUCAAAACAGACGAAGGAACGAAAUCCAACUUCAAAUUACAUUAAAAAAAAAAUGGUCACAUUCCAUUCAAUUUACCAUUUCAUUCUCCGAUUCAGAAUCGAGUGACAAAAUCCAAAACAUAAGCAGAGAGACAAGCUUUAGUUUAGAGUUCAGACACGCCCAAGGACAUAAUCAUUUUAGUGUCAUCCACGGUAAGAAAGGUUCUAGAGUCUUACGUGUUAUAUUAUUUAAGAUUCGUGAUAGUAUACCAUUUAUUCAUGUGUUAUCUUAGGUUUUCAAUUUAUUAGGCAAAAGAACACUUCAAGUGCCAUAACUUCGCACAAAUGGACACUUAAGUGCCAUAACAUACAAAAGGUACACUUAAGUGCCACAUUCGAAGAAAAACGGAUCAUUUGAGUGCCACUCCGGCCAAAGUCCAGCCAAAACUAGAUGUGGCAUUUUUCCGGCAAAGAGCGCCCAAAACAACGCCGUUUUGCACGCUGACGUGGCCAAAUAAUACAAAAACGACAACUUUUUGGGCUGAUGUGGUAAAAAAAUAUUAAAAAAAUAAUUAAAUCAAAUUUAAAAUUAAAUUUUGUUAAAAUUUUAAAAAAUAAUAAUUUUAAAUUUUAAAAAAUAUUUUAAAAAAAAAAGUAAAGGGUGGUGGCAACUAAGCGAUCAACCCUCAGCCGCCGGCAUCGCCUGGCUGGCCGGCGACGGCGGGGAGAUGUUCAGCGAUGGCUCACGAUCCUCGCCCAAAUCCGACAAAGGUCGGCAGCCCUUGGCCCGGCCGAGCGAGGGCCAUCGACCCUCGCCCUGAUCUGGGCGAGGGUUGCGACCCUUGCCCCAAUAUGGGGCGAGGGCUCGCAAGCCCUCGCCGCCAAUCGGCUAGCGUCGAUAGCCCUUGGCCAGGGACCAGCGACCCCGGUUGACCCUCCCCGCCGUCGUCGGCCCUUCCCGGCAGCGGCACUAAGGGCUGAUCCUUCAAUCGCCUCCCCGCCUUUCUUUUUUUAAAAAAUUUUUAAAAUUUUAAAUUAUUUUUUUAAUAUUUUAACUAAAUUUAAUUUAAAAUUAUUAUUUUUAAAUAUUUUAACUAAAUUUAUUUUUAAAUUAAUUUUUAUUACUUUUUUAUCACGUUAGCCCAAAACGACGCCGUUUUUGCAUUAUUUGGCCACGUCAGCGUGCAAAACAGCGUCAUUUUGGGCUCGAUUUGCCACAAAAAAUGCCACGCCGGCGUUUCGGCCGAACUUUGGCGGGAUUGGCACUCAAGUGAUCCAUUUUACUCCGAUUUUGGCACUUAAGUGUACUUUUCAUAAGUUAUGACACUUAAGUGUCACUUUGUGCAAAGUUAUCGCACUCCUGGGGUCUACAUGUCCAAUUUAUUACAAAAUAAAGUAUUGUGAGAAAUACCUUACUACUACAAACUAAAGAUUGAAUAAAUCUAGGGACUUGAUUACGCUUGAUUACUCUAAUGCUCUUUCAAUACAUUUUCUCAUAUAUUUUUAAAAAUAUUUUGCAAUAGUCUGAGUUGAUUUUAAUUCUAUCAUUUAACAUGUAAGGUAAUCAUGUAGGUGCGCAACUAUUAUUAAACAUCAAAAAAAAAGCAUGGCAACCAAUAAAUUGCAAAUGUAGGGAGUAAAUACUUACCUUGAUGUAACGCAAGCAUUUGCAACAAAUACUAAUUAGAAACACCUGUUCAACUUAAAUAUGACUUCUAAUUAUCACGCAAUUCACUCAACUUUUUUUAUUAUUAUAGGAUUUUAGCUUAUUUAAAUGAAGGCUGAGCUACACAAUGUACAAAUAUAGUUUAUAUUAACAUGACAUGUGACUUUCAAUUAACAUGCAAACUAUAUGACACUCAAUUUUAAUUUAAUGACCUAAUUUAAAUGACGGACAAUGAUUAAUACGUAACUAUUAUACAUGACAUGCACAUGAUAUUCACUUAAUUAAAUGAAAGGUAAACUACGUGCAAUGCAUGCAAUGACGUGCAAAAAUAGUUUAUAUAACAUACACGAGACUUUAAAAAAAUAAUAAUCCUAACACACAAACUAUACACACAAUUUAAAUUUAAUGACCUAACUCUUUUGACAGGCAGGUAAUGAUUUAUAUGUGACUACUCUACAUUAAAUGCGUGUGAUAUUUUUUUAUAUUAAAAUUUGCAACUAAAAAUGAGGGAAAUUAACUAUUUGGAAUAAAGAUAAUAUCUAAUUCAACUUAAGUAUUAAAUUGUGUCAAUUCCUAAUUUGAAUUAGAAUCUUAUCAUGAAUAUUAUAGAAUCUACUUAGACAUGCAAUGUUAUCGAAUAGAGCUAAUUAAUCUACAAGCAAUCUUUUUUUCUUUUUUAAUUUUCAAAUAAAGACAACCAAAACAAUCACACAAAUUACAAAAUAUCAACGAAUUGCCAAAGAUAUCAUCCAUAACUCAAAUUAGAGAACAAUAUCUAAUUAACUUGAUUAUUCUGCUAAUAAAAUCAAUAAAUUGAUCUUAAAUCUUAAAGAUCAAAAUUUCAAUUUUAAAGAUUACUGCGUAAUUAAUUAUUCAAUCUAAAACUUUAUGGAUAGAAUAAAAAAUUGAUGUGUGGUUGCGGAUUAGAAAACAAAUCCUCGUGGAUAUUGUCUAUCACUCAAAUAUGUACAUUAGAUAUUGAAUAAUCAAAUUAGGCCAUAAAAUAUUCACCAAAAUCAGAUUAAGAUUAUUACCUAAAUUUGAAUAUUACGUUUCCAAAUUGGAUCGACAAAGGUGGCUCAGAUGAAUGACGAACGAUGUGGCCGGUGACACGAUGCUUGCUGGCGGACGGCUGUUGUGACAUCCUGAAAUUCGACCCCGUUUCGAUAAAGUGAAAUGGACAUUUCGUCGACGUGCCUAUGGCCCUUUUUCUCUGAGCUGAUCACUCACGAGUUAACUAACCUAUUUGGUGAAGCCGUUAAGGGAUGUAUCAGCUGUAAAAUCCCUAAAAACUACCUAAUUGGUUGGAUUGAGCUAAAAUCAUGUUUGAUCGAUUUUUAACCACGAAAUUGAACUCGAUUUCGGGAAUCGAAUUUUAAGCGCGUCAUAAUUCUUAUUUUUAGGAUCUUGUCUCGUCGCUCGUCAAUUUAUUGACGGGUCCCAAAUUUCAAUAAAGAAAUUAUCAGAAGAAAAAUUGAAGCCCAAAAGAAAAUAGAAAGGAAAAGGAAAAGAGAAAAGGAAAAUUGAAAUAAAGAAUUAUGCAUUUCCUUUUCUUUUUCCUCUCUCUCCCUCUCUUUUCUUUUCUUUCUUUUCUCUCUUUUCUUUCUCUCUCCUCUCUCCUCUCCCCUCCCCCUCGUGCGAAUUGCCCCCACCGCCCAUUCUCUCUCUCUCUUUCUUUUUUCCCCUUUGACCAGUCAAUGUUUAUCUACUCUCCUCUCUCUCAUCUCCCUCCCUCGACAUUUCCUUCCCCCUUCCGUUCGAGCGAACCAGAGACGGAGGAAGGACAGCAGCUCGCCGCGACUGUCGCCCGCUUGCCGCUCGUCCCGCUGCCGCACCGCCGCCCGCACUGCACCCGCGCGCUCGCCGCCGUUCCGCCGUCCGCGCAUGCCCAGGCCGCGCGAACCAGCCGUUGUUCGCCCCUGUUCCGCACCGACCAGCCACCGUCCGGCCACCUCCGGCCACCGCCUAGCCCCGCCGAACCUCCCCCGCGACCCCCUCGCUCUCCGCCGGCUUCCCCUCGCCGCCCUAGCCGCCGGAGCAACCCCGAUCAACCCCAAUCGGCUCCGUCCAGCAGACCCACGGAGUGGGUUUGAGCAACUUCGGGCCCGCUUUUGGGUCGUUUCCCGGCCCCGAACCCGAGCCAUGCUUUGGGAACAAUUGUUCCUCGCGUCGCUGCCGUCGGAUUGAUUCGAUUUAUGCACGAUUUGGUGAGUAAUCUCACUAAUCCCGGAUUAGUUGGCUAAUUAUACUUAAGGUUGGUUUAGUUUUAAUUAAUUAUGUUUAUGUUGUUAGAUUAGAAUAAAUUAGCAAUUAUUAGUCAAUUGUGAUGUGAUUUAAAUAAAUUGAUUGCGUAAUUAGCAAGUAGACGUGGUCUACCAUUUAUUGGAAGUAUCUUGGGAAUUUUCUGACCCCUAAUUGGGCUUCAAUUUGGCGAUUCAGGUCUAAGUGGGAUUUUUGGGCAUUUAAAUAUUAAUUUUCAGAAUUAAAUUAAAUAAUUAUUUAUUUUCCGAAAAUUCAAGGGAGAUGGUCCGGAACCGGAAUAUUAUGCGGAUGACUAUGGUGAAGUCCGUUUAUUUAAUCGGGCUUUAUUUUGAGCUAAAUUGAAUUUUUAAUAUUAAUUAUUUAAUUUUCGAAAUUAAUUAAUUAUUUAUUUAUUUCCUGAAAAUUCAACUGGGAUGGCCCGUGACCGGAAAAUUAUGCUGAUGACUGUGGUGAAGUCCGUUUAUUUAUUUGGACCUUAUUUUGAACUAAUCGGAAUUUUUAAUAUUUAAUAAUUAAUUUUCGAAAUUAAUUAAUUAUUUAUUUAUUUUCGGAAAUUGAAAUUGAGAUGGCCGACGACCGAAAUCUCAUGCCGAUUGUCGUGGCGCAGUCCGUUUAUUUAUUGGAGCUUUGAAUUAUGCCAAAUUGAAUUGAAUGUGGAAUUUAUGAUAUAUUCCUAAAUUGUUGUGGUUAAUUAUUUCAUUAAGAAAUCGUUGAAUAUUGAUUGAGUAUCGAAAGUGGUCGAGUGGGACCGUAAAGCCAUUGAAUAUCGAAAGUGGUCAAGUGGGACCGUAAAGCCAUUGAAUAUCGAAAGUGGUCGAGUGGGACCGUAAAGCCAUUGAGUAUCGAAAGUGGUCGAGUGGGACCGUAAAGCCAUUGAGUAUCGAAAGUUGUUGAGUGGUGGACUGUGUCUUUCAUCUUUGCUCAAGAUGUGAUAUGAGGAUCGUGAUUCGUAAUUGAUGAUUGAGAUGGAAUAAUCGAAUUGACCUAGAAUGGUCCGUCUGACAUGUAAUCGACGAGGUCGAUUGAUCAUUGCUUUGAUUUUAUGUUAUGAAUUGAUUGACUGAAUGGAAAUGACCGUGAGUGGUCUUGUUGGCAUUUAAUCGACUAGAUCGAUUUGAUCGAUGCUUCGAUCGGUGAUAUGAUUGCUUGGGUUCCUAUUAUGAAUUGUACUGACUUGCAGGUGGGAUCUGAGGCCAAGGUACGUCUUCUGCCCCGUGUGUGUAUAGGCAGCCUGUAGUAUAAUGGUUUACUAAUCGAGGCUUAGUGGGGUAGAACUCGUUGAGACGUAGUCUCAUCCCAGUUUGGGGAAAUCAUUUCAGGACCUCGCUGAGGAGCUGAGGAGGAGGAGUUUGAGAAGAAUUUUUGGAAGAAGAAGACUUGAGUACGGCCUAGAUGGACUGAAAUUUUAUCUUCUCUUGAGAUUUCCAUUUUGAUGUGAAUAGAGUUUAGAGUAAAGAGUUGUGGAGUACUCUGGGUGUGUUUUGUAUAAAAGUUCGGUUAUAAAUUUUAAUAUGAAAAAUAUGGCCCUGCUUUUCUAUCUCAUUGUUUUAUUGUCUGGGGAUUUAUAACUACUUCCGCAUAUGCUUAAAAAAACGAAAGGGUCAGCGAUAGAUUGUCCUGGGAUAUCGCAUUAUUAAAUCAACCAAGUCAGACGGAUGUGUGCGUGCCUGAGGAUCGGGGCGUGACAGCUGUAGCUAUUCCCGAGGGGUGACCAAGGACAAGUGGUAUGCCGCAGGUGGGGGAGUGCCGUGGCAAUGUGAGGAAGCUCUAUCGGACUGAAUUGCGACACUUGUGAUGGUGGAAAGACCAGGGCAACAAUUGGCAAGGCUCCGAGAUCAGUGUGAGUUGUAACUUGAAGGCACGACCAUGGGAACGAAUUCUCCAUUGGCGAUGUUGGCGUCUCUGGAGAAACCUAAGCCAGUGACCAUUGGGCUAUAGUUGACACUAAAAGAACCAUCAAAAUUGGUGGUUUCAUUGAGCGCACCAUCAACGCCACAGGAAGUUUACCAUGCGGUGUGAACUAGUUUGUCACGAUGACAAUGUAGAGCCGCCACCCCAAAAGACUCACCAAUGUAUAAUAGUAAGUUGUCAAAGCAAGAGCCGCCACUGGAAAAGUCCCAUGAUAAUCGAAACAUUCCCUUUGACUCAAUCAUUUGGCAACCAAGCGAGCCUUGUUAUGUUCAACGGAACCAUUUGCGUUGUGCUUAAAUUUGCAUACCCAUUUGCAACCAAUUUGGUUUUCAAUGCAAAGGUAGAUUGACAAUAUCCCAAGUGUGGUUCUCAAUGAGAGAAUGUAGUUAAGCUUCCAUGGGCUUGCCAUUGUGGGUUACGCAUUGCUUCAUCAAAAGAUGAUCAUUCUUGUUCCUCUUAUAUGCGACUAAUACAACAUAUAUGUUCUGAUGAUAGUCGGCCAAAUGAAAUAUAAGAGGAGAUAGGAGGUCAUGUACAUGGAGAAAUCAAUGUGGCACAUUUGUACUCUUUGGUCCAUGCCAAGGAGCAAAUGUGGCUGCUCAAUAUGCCUUUGUCUUGGAACUAGUGAGCAAGAAUCAUCAAGGCAUGGAUGCGGGGAUCCCACUGAAGAUGCAGGUGUCAUUGAAGAAACAGGCAGAUCAUCUUUGUCAGAUGAUGAUGUAGGUGAUUCAAUUUCUUGAUUCAAAGAAUUUGAAUCAGUUGGAAUAUAUGAUAUAAGGUUUGCUGAAAUGAAAACAUAUUAAGGACUCACAGAUUAAUCCUCUUCUAAUAAGAAUUGACUGUUGUUUGAUUUUGGCAUAGGCGAUUUAGAUGAAGGUGUCAUUUCCUAGAAUGAAAACAUAUUAAGAACUCACAGAUUAAUCCUCUUCACAUUGUGGACAGGGAUAACAAUUGCGGUACAUAGAAUUAAGUUCACAAGUUGUCAGCAAAAAAAAUCAAUCGACGAGUCUCUAGUCCUUGUGGGUAUGACUUGAAGGAGUCUUGCAAAGGCAAAGGACUUCCGUUCUUGGCCAUACAAAAGAAAACGAGUGGGACCAAGAAGUGGUUAGAAAAAUGGAAAAUCAAAUCAAAUCAAAUAGAAAAACCUCUGUUGACGGACCCAUCCUCAUUUAUAAAUCUCGCACGUAUUAAAUCAACGCUCGUAUCAAGUUUCCACGUUAACUUUCACAAAACUACGUACUUCUAAUCCAAGGCAUUCUUGUUCAAUGCAGAUAUAUAUGGGCUUUUGACCUUUCUGUGAGCACUAUAAUAACUCAUUCUUAUUUAUACAUCUUGGAUUUAUUACCUCUGUUGAUAAAAGAGGGGAAUCUGCACGUCUAUGGGCACGUGCAUGUGCAUGUUAUCUACUUUUAUAUGCCUAGUCACCGGCUGACGAGAGAAACAGAUGUUAUCUUAGUUGAAUAUUCGUGCAUAAACCAAAUUCUUUUCAUCCGGACCUAGUAGCUGAAUUCGACUAACUUAUCAAAGUUUACUGAAAUGAAUACCCUGCUCGGCUUGGAAAUAUUUUGCCAGCGAAAAAGAAGAAUGACUAAUGUUAGAGUGUUUUGUUAACUUUAUAGACUUAAACAAUGCGAGUCCAAAGGACACAUUCCCUUUGCCAAUCGCCGAGCUACGGAUAGAAUGGAUAUUCCAGCAGCAAUCAAUACAAGAAUGGAUCCAAAUGGUGGCGAGGAAACGACGGCCUUUAUAAUUCCCAGGGGAAUGUUCCGAUACAAAGUUAUACAUUUUAGGUUCAAAGAAAGCGGGCGCAAGGGGACUUCGCUCCACUAUAUCAUCUAAUGUUAUGCGGACGAUUUGGCGGUCAAGACUAAAGACGGGGGCGAUCACCUAAAUGAUCUCUAGCAAAAGAUUUCAGAGCUUGUGGACCAAUGUCGUCUCGACCAAUUAAUUAUGUGAGUUCCAUGUUGGAUGAAUUAAUUAUUAGACCAUACAACAUUUUUUCCCACCACACCAGCAAAGACAAUUUUUCACGCGGAAACUGUAUUUUGACUUUUGAGUCAAUACUGAAUACGUAAUUAUAUAAUUGCAUAUACUUGAAGUUCGUCUGUAUACAUUUCUUUUUUAUGACAUACUCAGGUAUUAUUAUGCUUUUCUUUGGGGAAGAUUGAAGAUUGAAGGAUAUGUAAUCUCCAGUAGGUGUGUAUCAUCAAAGAUCUCAAGUGCACAAAUUUAUAAAAGCAGAUGUUGGAUGAAUCUAAGAAUUAAGGGACUUCUUCACGAAUUUUACUCCCCUAGCUUUUCUCUUCAGUAUUCUUUUUUUCCUGCUUGUGCAUGCCCAUUUCUCUUCCUCAUUUACUCCCACCUAUUCACCAGCAUCAUACUCAUUGCAACUAAAUGACUGGCAAAUAUGAAAAUGAUCUAACACAUAAGAAUUAUAUAGAAUCAUAUAUGAAAAGAAAUGGAUGAAAGAUAUUUCCAAUCGUAUGACAACCCCGUACACUUUAAACCUACGAGUUUAAAAGCUGUGAGCAUUGUAAACAAAGAAACUCCAAACAUAUUCAAUGCUGGAUCCAAGAAACACUUCUAUAUAUCUCUAUUUCUUAUUCUCCGGACGACCAGGAAACAAGAAAACUCUAUUAUCAAUCUUGAAGUUCAAGAACCAUAUCCAAGAAAACAAUUAUUCUCCCAACUACAUAAGUAUACCAUUCUUACCCCCACUAUGCUUCUCUUAACCUUCGGAUGCCCAUAAAAGCAAACGUAUACUCGAUUUUAGAGGAGAAGAUCGUUACGCCAUUAGGCUUCAAUGAAUUCUACGAAGAGCGCAGCAUGCUCCUCUUCAGCCCGGGUGAUCUCUUCUCGAAUUUCCUGCACUCUGGCUCGCGUCGCUGCAAUGCGGGCUUCCGGGUGAUUGAUAUUCACGGCCCGCCUAGCAUGCAUUAACAAGGCAUUCACUUUAAAGUCGAGCUCCCAUCUGAGACGCCUUAACCUCCUCUCCACUUCCUCAAGCUCGUCUAGAACAACUUGGUCAGUCCUUGGCAUUUUCUCUCCCUCUCUCAGUCUCUCUUAGUGUUUUCCAGGUUCAAGAUAAGAAGGCAGAAGCAAGAAUCAGUUUGAGAUGAUUAACAGGAACUUUCCCCUCAGACUUCAAGAAUGGACCUUAUUUAUACUCGCGGUCACUUAAAUGAUUACGGGAAACUUCAAAACCAAUAACAGAAGAAAACAUUAUUCCGCUAGAAAUAUUACAUAAUAUUUGUUGCAUAGUUGACCGACUACAUAUUAUAGCCAACUCGAAAGAGAAAACAUUAUUCCACUCGAAAUUUCGUGAAUGGACCUUAUUUAGAGAGAGCUGUGAUGAGCACUACAAUUAGAUGGACAUAAAUCCUAUGGGAGACGUUUAAUGGGGAAGAAGCGCGUGCCAUGUUCGAAGAAGGUCUCCACUUACCAUUUUCAGACUGCUGUAAUUUUAGAGCGGGCCUUCUUAUUACGGAGUAGAUGUUGAAAUUUAAGAGGGAAACCGACCAACUUCAGAAGUCGCAUUUUUUUGGGUCUUUUGUAUGCUGGAUUGGGGUUUCUGAGAGUUUGGAUUCAUGUGAUUUUCUUUUUUCUUUGGUGGAAUGGAUUCAUGUGAUUGAGGAGCAAUGUUCUGGAGAGAGAAACAGAGAAUUAGCUGAUAAAACCCUCAAGAAAUUAUAUUCAUUUGUCUUUUUCGAGCUGCAACCCUCGUGUAGAAUUUUUCUCAACUAUGGUUCAUGUCAUGUUCGCUUUAAACCUUCCGAAUGUCCCAAUCCCAUGUUAAAGCUGAAAUUUGGUCAACGUGGGAAGUUGAGAGGUUAUAUUCAUUUGCCUUUUUCUGAGAUGCGACCUUCUUGUUUGAUUUUUGCCGACUAUGGUUCAUGUCAUGUUCGCUUUGGACCUUCAAAAGGAUAAAUCUUUAGGUUACACGUCAGGUAUGCUAUUAAGGUGAGGAUGUGGUUAGAAAAAAGAAAAAUCAAAUCAAAUCAAAUCAAAAAAAUCCGCGUUGAAGAACCCAUCCCUAUAUAUACAUCUUGCAUUUAUUAAAUCAACUGUCUUAAUAAGUUUCCGCGUGAAAGUUCAUCCCCAUCUAUACACCUUGCAUUUAUUAAAUCAACUCUCUUAAUAAGUUUCCAUGUGAAAGUUCAUCCCCAUUUAUCCACCUUGCAUUUAUUAAAUCAACUCUCUUAAUAAGUUUCCAUGUGAAAGUUCAUCCCCAUUUAUACACCUUGCAUUUAUUCAUCAUAUUAACUUUGACAACACUAUCAGGGACAAACGUUUCAAAUAUGAUCAGUGGCAUCUUCUCCCCGGUUGCUUUUUGGGUUGAGGGUUGCUUAAAUAAGGAGCAUCGGACGUUCAUUGAGAGCCCCGCGUAGCUCAAUGUAGAAAGUGUGAUGCCAGAUUUUUUCCAUAUCGUCCCAAUUGCUGGCAAUUCCACUCUCCAAAGGGUACUAAAAAGUAAGCAUGCCCCUUUUAGAUUGGGCCUCAUCUCCAACAUAAGCAACCCUGUGGCCCAUACUAACCAUGUCAACGGGGUGCCUCGAUCGACAAACCAUACUGAGGAAGACAACCCUUGGAGCAUCAUCUCCAGCAAAACUAGCCUGUCAAAUUCAGGUUAUUACGUAAGCACAAAUACCACCAUGCACUCCAGGAAAGCCCAUAGCAACGGACCGGUGCAUCAAUAUUCUCACCUUAACCAUGGCAAAUCCAUUAUCAACACCAAGAGGCUGAAUGUCUUCGGCAUCUGCCAUCUCUUUAUGCUAAUCAAAGGAAAAACUCUACAUGAUUAACACAGGUAAAUAUCAAUGUCCAAGUAAGAUCCACGUUGGUAAGUUCUAAUGGAUCCACGAUAAUGUUUUAUCAUAUAAUUAUCCUAGGGAUAAUAGAUAGCUGUAUAAUGAACUGCACUGAUCUAACAAAGUUAAUUGAAUAGAGCUUUUGUGGAGAUAACAAGAACAAAGAUACCUUUAGUAGCUUUUUAAUUUCAAAAAAAUUAAAGCCUUAAGGAUAUAUUUUCAAUUACGCAGGCUCUAUCCCUCACUGUCCAACAGAAAAACAAUGAAAUACUAAAUCCAAAUAACACACUGACCAGGAAAAAAAUCAAGAAUUUUUGAAGAAAUCCUUUAACUACCAUAACAGUACAGGAGAAAGGAUAAUAGAGAGUGACAGGAAUCUUAAAAAUAUUCUUGAAUUACGGUCGUCGAGUUCAACAAUCAUGCUUUAAUUGUUGAUCACGCCUUAACUCGAAACACCAUAGCAGCUCGCACACCAACUAUGCAUCUAUCCAUGAAAGGAAUCUCCUCUCGAUGCCAUGAAACAAAUUAAGCUAAAUCAUCCCAAUUUCCACUCUUGGUCACGCACAAUCCGUUGAUUCUGGGAAAGCUCCACACGCGUUCAGCAAUCGGCAAGCCUUCACCCAAUCUGAUUCCGUAAAAUUCAAUGGCGAACCGCCUAAAUCAGCUCCUAAGCCUCCAAAAUUCGACUGGUAACAUGGCAGCGCAUUGGUCAAAACAGACGAAGGAACGAAAUCCAACUUCAAAUUACAUUAAAAAAAAAAUGGUCACAUUCCAUUCAAUUUACCAUUUCAUUCUCCAAUUCAGAAUCGAGUGACAAAAUCCAAAACAGAAGCAGAGAGACAAGCUUUAGUUCGGAGUUCAGACAGGCCCAACAACAUAAUCGUUUUAGUGUCAUCCACGGUAAGAAAGGUUCUAGAGUCUUACGUGUUAUAUUAUUUAAGAUUUGUGAUAGUAUACCAUUUAUUCAUGUGUUAUCUUAGGUUUCCAAUUUAGUGCCAUAACUUUGCACAAAGGAACACUUAAGUGCCAUAACUUACGAAAGGUACAUUUAAGUGCCACAUUCGAAGAAAAACAGAUCAUUUGAGUGCCACUCCGGCCAAAGUCCAGCCAAAACUUAACGUGGCAUUUUUCCGGCAAAGAGCACCCAAAACAACGCCAUUUUGCACGCUGACGUGGCCAAAUAAUACAAAAACGAUGACUUUUUGGGCUGAUGUGGUAAAAAAAUAAUAAUUAAUUAAUUAAUUAAUUUAAAAUUAAAUUUAGUUAAAAUAUUACAAAUUAAUAAUUUAAAAUUUUAAAAAAAAAAAAGGAAAAGGGGGAGGCAGCUGAGGGAUCAGCCCUCAGUCGCCGCCGCCGCCGCCACCCUGCCGUCGCCGGGAAGGGCCAGUUGUCACGCCCCGAACCCCGAGCGCGCACACAUCCCACUGCAGUCGAUCAAAUGCGACAUUUCCAGGUAGUGUCGCCGACCCCAUAAAUUUUAUUAUUGCGCAAGCGGAACGUAUUAUAAAACCCCUGACAAUGAAAUACGGGAUAGAAAACAGGAAGCAAAACCACAACAUAACACUUUCAUAAUUCAACCGAAUUACAAACAGAAGCCCACAGCCAAAAGUCUACAAAAGACCGGCUCUUAAAAAGGAACUGUCCUAUGACCUACAAGUCGGACACAUUCUCCAAUCGUUAUGACUUCACCUCUGCAACUCCUCAAAGCCAACCAAAGCUAUCUGGUCGCUCCGUCCACCAGGGACCUGAAAUUUUAAUCCCACAACCGGGAUGAGACGAUGUCUCAGCAAGUUCAACCCCUAAACCCCUAUUAGAAAGAAAAUACGUCCCGGGUGGUCUAGCCACAUCACACAGAGAACUUACCUCGCCUCAAUUCCUUUCUGCAUGUUAGUACAAUUCAAAUCACUCAAUCACAUGUAGUAAUAAUAAUUCAAACAAUUGGAAUGUCAUCACUUUCAUAUAAAUCACAAUCGCACUUAGCACGCAUUCCAAUUAUUAUUCACUGCCACACAAGGGCAUAGCCUACUCGCAGUUCGGCUAUCUACUAGCAUAUAGCCAGGCAUCGCCUCCCCCCCAUGGAGCGCGGCUUCGUCAGUACGUCGACGGCAUUCCCGAAAGAGCAUGGGCCUAGAAUCUACUGUGACCCGCAACCACCGCAUGGGCAUCCCAUAUAGGGGCAAGUCCGGCUCAACAGCCCAAGACGAUUUAUCUUAAUUAUCACACAGUCAAAUCAUACUCAGCCCCGGGACACUUUGCAUUUAACUCAACGCUUCCACUUAAAAUAGUGAUUUAGGCCAUUUUUCUUCAUAUUAAAAAUAUUCCAUAAAUUACUCACGUGUGUGGGGACACGCUAAUUUCGAAUCAAAAAGCCAAUAUGUCACUUUUUCAAACCCCACUAUUUAAUAUAAUCAUUAAAAAUCCAAUUUUUGCAUCAAAACCCGACAUUUGGGUUUUUAUGAAUAAAAUCCUUAUUUAUCCCAAUCAACACUCAAUUUGCCACAAUCAAUCAUCAAAUUCAAAUUCUAAAUACACAGCAGCGAUCAGCACGAAAUUCUGAGAGUAUAAGGUCCCGACGAAAUUUUCGAAUUUUAAUAAACAAUUAAAUUUAUUCCGAAAAUUUAUUUAAAUAAUAAUAUUCAUAUUUUUCACAAUCCACAUUCAAUUUAUAAUAUCCGACCAUCAAUUUCAAAAUCCAAACACACAACAGCGACCGGCACGAAAUUCUGAGAAUUUAGGGUCCUGACGAAAUUUUUGGAAUUAAAUAAAUAAUUAAAUUUAUUCCGAAAAUAAUUAAAUAAUAAUAUUUUAAUAAUUUCGAAUAAUAAUAUAUUAUUAAAUUAUUAAAUAAUUUCGAGAUAUUUAAGUAAAUCAAAAGUAAAUUCCUUUAUGCCACAUCAAGGCUUAUAUUAAUAUAAACCUUCAUUUAGCCUUAAAUUAAACUCACUUUAAGUUAAUCAAGCACAUUAAUCUAAUCUACACUUAAAUAAAUUAAACUAACCACCUAAUAACACUUAACAUAAACUAAACACACCUACAGCAUCAUUAACCCUCUAAGCGAGGUUUAGUGAGCUAAACUCACCGGAUUAGCGAGCCGAGCAGACCAAAACGAUGGGGACGCCGAGGAGAAUAACUUUCCUCAAAGCGGGCCGAGCAUCCGAGCUUGGGAAGGCGGCCAAAACGGGCCAAACGUCCGCUGCAUACCCAUUUUUUUCAGCUGCUGUCCAUGGCGGUUUGAGGUCGAGGAAGGGUAGAUCCGGCGCAGGUUCGGGUCGGAAAGGGCGGAGGACCUACGGCGGUGGCUGGUGGCGACGAACGGCGGUGCACGGCAGCAACGAACGAGCUCCGGCAGCUCUUGCGCGAGCUAAACAGCAGCUCGGGACGAUGAGCUGGGCGAAGCGGGCGGAGCGGCGAGCGGCCAGGCGCGGGCGGAGCAGCGCGUGGCCAGGCGCGGGCGGAGCGACGCAUGGCCAGGCGUGGGCGAGCGCGAGGCAAACACUCGCGACUGCGGCAAUGGGCAAACGGCGAGACCUCCGGCUAGCGUGCAGCUUCGGACGAAACUUCUCUAGUUGCUGCUGGGUCUCGAAGCAUUCAAGGGAGAUGGAGAAGAGAGAUCGCGACGGGAGAGGAAGGGGAAGACGGAGGGCGACAGCCAAGGCGAAACGGCGACGGUGCACGGCGGCGGUGAACGGCGGAGGCGUGCGGCUUCUCCAGCUUGCUGGUUGCUGGGUUUUCAAAGAAUAAGGAGAUGAAGAAGAUGGAGAUGGAGGAGUCGCACGGUUGGGAGGAAGAAGAGAGGGAGGAGAGAGAUGGAGGAGAGAGAGAGAUGGGACCAUUUUUCUUUUCUUUUUCUUUUUCUUUAAUCCCACCAAAUGGCCCACCAUGACCUAGGAUGACAUCACACUCCACUAUCUCCCACAACCUCUUCCAAUGGGUUCACUUGCAAUUUCUGCCGAGGUCCAAUUCUUUGUACAACAACUUCUUCAAUUUCACUCGAUUCUCUUCCAAUUGAAUUAAAUUGAAGCCCAUAAAAUUAAUCCAAUGUCACCACACUUCAAUUCACAUCUUCACUUGCCCGUAGAACUAACUUAAGUCCUAAAAGUAAGGCCAAAGGCGGGCCUACUGAUUUUUCGAGCCAAAAUAGCCAUUCUCUAAUUUAAUUUCUAAAAAAAUUCUUAUUACAUGAAAAAUCUUCUAAAGAUAAGCCAAUGAUCCUAAAAUGAUUUGUGACACACCCAGACUUCUAAUUUCUGAAUUCGGUCUCAAGUCCACAGUUAAUUUCACUUUGGCACAAUACUAGCGCGGCCCAACCUACCGGGUAGCCUUUAGAAAUUUUCAUGCAUUUGACCUGUGGUUGAUCAUCUCAAGCCACAAUGUACAUCUUUGAAACAUUGGCGACUUUCGGUUGUCGGGGUAAUCUCAAGGUUUCAAAUACGAACACAGGGUACCUAAUCGAUAGAAAAUUUGGCCCAGUGUCGAUCGACAAGGAUUAUGCGAUCCGGUGGAAUCACCCACACUCGAUCACAUGCCUCUGUUGAGUCGACCUAUCUCCGAUCUCUAAUCAACUUUUAUUUGUGCUGUAAUGACCCUUGCAGAUUAGCUCGGUCGAAAGGUCGCUUUUUGGUCAAAUUCUCGAGUAUGAUGCAUUAAAAACUCUUAACGGCUUCACCCGAUAGACUAGUUUUCACAUGAAUGGCCGACUCAAGGAAAAGAACUAUAUGCGUGCCAACGAAAUGCCCGUCUUAAUUUAUUGAAAAUAGAAUCAGAAAAUCGGGAUGUCACACCAGUGACAGUCGAGGUAGGGUCAGCCGGGGUCACCGGGCCCUAGUCAUGGGAAGGAAUUCUCCAUUGGCGGUGUUGGCGUCUCUCAAGAAACCUAAGCGGGUAACCAUUGGGCUAUGGUUGACACUAAAAGAACCAUCGAAAUUGGUGGUUUCAUUGAGCGCACCAUCAACGCCACAGGAAGUUUACCAUGCGGUGUGAACUAGUUUGUCAUGAUGACAAUGUAGAGCCGCCACCCCAAAAUACUCACCAGUGUAUAAUAGUAAGUUGUCAAAGCAAGAGUCGCCACUGGAAAAGUCCCAUGAUAAUCAAAACCUUCCCUUUGAGUCAAUCAUUUGGCAACCAAGUGAGCCUUGUUACAUUCAACAGAGCCAUUUGCAUUGUACUUAAAUUUGCAUACCCAUUUGCAACCAAUUUGGUUUUCAAUACAAAGGUAGAUUGACAAUAUCCCAAGUGUGGUUCUCAAUGAGAGAAUGUAGUUAAGCUUCCAUGGGCUUGCCAUUGUGGGUUACGCACUGCUUCAUCAAAGAUGACGAUUCUUGUUCCUCUGAUAUGCAACUAAUACAACAUAUAUGUUCUGAUGAUAGUUGGCUAAAUGAAACAUAAGAGGAGAUAGGAGGACAUGUACAUGGAGAAAUCAAUGUGGGACAUUUGUACUCUUUGGUCCAUGCCGAAGGACAAAUGUGGCUGGAACUAGUGAGCAAGAAUCAUCAAGGCAUGGAUGCCGGGAUCUCACUAAGAUGCUGAUGUCAUUGAAGAAGCAGGCAGAUCAUCUUUGUCAGAUGAUGAUGUAGGUGAUUCAAUUUCUUGAUUCAAAGAAUUUGAAUCGGCUGGAAUAUAUGAUAUAGGGUUUGCUGAAAUGAAAACAUAUUAAGAACUCACAGAUUAAUCCUCUUCUAAUAAGAAUUGACUGUUGUUUGAUUUUGGCAUAGACGAUUUAGAUGAAGGUGUCAUUUCCUAGAAUGAAAACACAUUAAGAACUCACAGAUUAAUCAUCUUCACAUUGUGGACAAGGAUAACAAUUGCGGUACGUAGAAUUAAGUUCAUGAGUUUUCAGCAAAAAAAUUAAAUCGACGAGUCUCUAGUGCUUGUGGGUAUGACUUGAAGGAGUCUUGCAAAGGCAAAGGACUUCCGUUCUUGGCCAUACAAAAGAAAACGAGUGGGAUCAAGAAGUGGUUAGAAAAAUGGAUAAUCAAAUCAAAUAGAAAAACCUCUGUUGAAGGACCCAUCCUCAUUUAUAAAUCUCGCACGUACUAAAUCAACGCUCUUAUUCCUCGUUAACUUUCACAAAACUACGUACUUCUAAUCCAAGGCAUUCUUGUUCAAUGCGGAUAUAUAUGGGCUUUUGACCUUUCCGUGAGCACUAGAAGAACUCAUCCUUAUUUAUACAUCUUGGAUUUAUUAACUGUGUUGAUAAAAGAGGGGAAUCUGCACGUCUAUGGGCACGUGCAUGUGCAUGUUAUCUACUUUGAUAUGCCCAGUCACCGGCUGACGAGAGAAACAGAUGUUAUCUUAGUUGAAUAUUCGUGCAGAAACCAAAUUCCUUUCAUCCGGACCUAGUAGCUGAAUUUGACUAACUUAUCAAAGUUACUGAAAUGAAUACCCUGCUCGGCUUGGAAAUAUUUUGCCAGCGAAAAAGAAGAUGACCGAUGUUAGAGUGUUUUGUUAACUUUAUAGACUUAAACAAUGCCAGAGUGUUUUUUACCAAAAAAAAACAAUGCCAGAGUGUUUUGUUAACUUUAUAGACUUAUGCCAGUCCAAAAAGGACACAUUCCUUUUGCCUAUCGCUGAGCUACGGAUAGAAUGGAUAGUCCGGCAGCAAUUAAUACAAGAAUGGAUCCAAAUGGUAGAGAGGAAAUGACAGCCUUUAUAAUUCCCAGGGGAAUAUUCCGAUACAAAAUUAUACAUUUUAGGUUCAAAGAAAGCGGGCGCAAUGUUCAUGACUUUCCUCCCAGGGGACUUUGCUCCACUAUAUCAUCGAAUGUUAUGUGGAUGAUUUGGCGGUCAAGACUAAAGACGGGGGCGAUCACCUAAAUGAUCUCUAGCAAAAGAUUUUUUCGGAGCUUGUGGAUCAAUGCCGUCUCGACAAUUAAUUAUGUGAGUUCCAUGUUGGAUGAAUUAAUUAUUAGAUCAUACAACAUUUUUUUCCACCGCACCAGCAAAGACAAUUUUUCACGCCGAAACUAUAUUUGGACUUUCGAGACAAUAGAGAAUACGUAAUUAUAUAAUUACAUAUACUUGAAGUUCGUCUGUAUACAUUUCUUGUGACAUCCUGAAAUUCGACCCCGUUUCGAUAAAAUGAAAUGUGCAUUUCGUCGACGUGCCUAUGGUCCUUUUUCUCUGAGCUGAUCACUCACGAGUUAACUAACCUAUUGGGUGAAGCCAUUAAGGGAUAUAUCCAUGGUAAAAUCCCUAAAAGCUACCUAAUUUGUUGGAUUGGACUAAAAUCACGUUCGGUCAAUUUUAAUCAUGAAAUUUAAUUCGAUUUUGGGAAUCGAAUAUUCGGACGUGUCACAAUUCAUUUUUAGGACCGUCUCAUCGUCUAUCAAUUUAUUGCCGAGUCCGAAAUUUCAAGAAAAAAAUUAUCGAAGGAAGAUUUGAAGACCAAAAGAAAAUAGAAAGUGAAAGGGAAAGAGAAAAAGAAAAGAAAUAAGAGAAGUAUUAUUAUUUGAAUUCUUUUUCUCCCUCUCCCUUUUCUCUCUUUUUCUCUUUCUUUCUUUUUCUCUCUAUCUUCUCUCUCCUUCCCCCCUUUCCCCUUCCCCUUAGUGCGACUCCCCCACCGCCCACCUUUUCUCUCUCUUCCCUUUGACUAGUCCAAGCUUAUCUUCUCUCUCUUCUCUCUCCUCUCUCUUCUUUCUUCCUCUGCACGCUCAACCGAACCCCCUUUUCUUCUUUCUUCUUCUCCUUCUUUUCUUCACGCCGAGCGAACCAGAAGCUGCAGCUCGCCCCUCAGCCGCUCGCCGCUCGUCCCGCUCGCCGCACCGCCGCCCGCGCCCGUGCGCCCGCCGCCAUCCGCGCACGCCCAGGCCGCGCGAUCCAGCUCGGCCCAGCCCUGUUUCGCCUCUGUUCCAGCACCGACCAGCUCAUCUCCAGCCACCUCCGGCCACCGGCUAGCCCCGCCGGACCUCCCCGGUGUCCCCCUUGCCCUCCGCCGACCUCCCCUUGCCGCCCUAGCCGCCGGACGAGCUUCGUCCAGCCAAGAACAGUGGCUGGAAAAAUGGGUUUCCAGCACUGUUCAAGGCCGAUUUGGGCCAUUUCCCGGCCCCGAACCCGAGCCGUGCUUUGGGAAGUUUCGUUCCUCGCGUCGCCGCCGUCGGAUUGAUCCGAUUUCCGCGCGAUUUGGUGAGUAAUCUCACUAAUCUUGGAUUAGUUGACUAAUUAUGCGUAAGGUUGGUUUAGAUUUUAUUAAUUAUGUUUAGGUUGUUAGAUUAGAAUAAAUUAGCAAUUAUUAGUCAAUUGUGAUGUGAUUUAGAUAAAUUGAUUGUGCAAUUAGCAAGUAGACGUGGUAUACUAAUUAUUGGAAGUGCCUCAGGAUUUUUCCCGACCCUUAGUGGGCUCCAAUUAGGCUUUUCGGGCCUAAGUGGAUUUUUUUUAGUAUUUAAAUAUUAAUUUUCGUAAUUAAAUUAAAUAAUUAUUUAUUUUCCGAAAAUUCAAGGGAGAUGUUUCGGAACCGGAAUAUUAUGUGGAUGACCGUGGUGAAGUCCGUUUAUGUAAUCGGGCUUUAUUUUGAGCUAAAUUGAAUUUUUUAAUAUUAAUUAUUUAAUUUUCGAAAUUAAUUAUUUAAUUAAUUAUUUUUCAGAAAUUAAGAUUUCGAUGGCCGACGACCGAAAUCUCGUGCUGAUCGUCGUGGCGCAGUCCAUUUAUUUAUUUGAGCUCUACGUUGUAUGGAAGUGAGUAAAUUGUGAUAUUUUAGGGAAUUACCCUAAAUUGAUUGGAAUCGAUUGAGAAUGAAUUAUCGAUUGGUGAAUGGCCAAGUAUGUUUAUUCAUCAUUUAUAAUGCUUUGUUGAGUUAAUUUAAUUAUUUGACUGAGUAUUGAUUGGUGAAUGGCCAAGUAUGUUUAUUCAGCAUUUAUAAUGUUUUGUUGAGUUGAUUUAAUUAUUUGAUUGAGAAAUCGUUCGGCAUUGGUUGUCGAUAUUGAAAGUGAAUUGGUAACCACUGCAAAGAGGACACGUGGCUCGGUGAAUUGGAGUGUCACCUGGGAAAAUGCACUUGAGUUCAGUGGUUGAAUAUGUCACCUUGGCGAAAAGGUCACCUGAGAGAAUGCACGUGGCUCGGAGACUCAGUAUGUCGUCCUGGAGAAUGCACGUGGCUCGGUGACAGGAUUUGGCAUCUAAAAGGACACGUGGCUCGGUGAUCUGAUGCGUCACUUUGGUAAGCGAGUACCUUAGAGAAUGCACGUGGGUCCAGCAUUCCGGAAUGGCAUCUAAAAGGACACGUGGUCUCGGCGAAUUGAUGCAUCGCUUUGGUGAGAUGCACCUAAGAGAAUGCACGUGGGCCCGGGCAUCUAAAAGGGCACGCUGUCUCGGUGACUUGAUGCAUCACUUUGGCAAAAAGGUUGCCUGAGAGAAUGCACGUGGGCCCAAGGUUCGAGGCACGUGAACCCGGAGACUUGGAAGGUCAUCCUGGAAAAUACACGUGGCCUAGCUUUUAAAUAUCCCACAGUGGGGAUUGAUUUGUUUGGCAUGUAAUCGACUAGGUCGAUUUGAUCGAUGCUUCGAUCGGUGUUAUGAUUGCUUGGGUGCCUCUUAUGAAUUGUACUGACUUGCAAGUGGGAUCAGAGGCCAAGGUAAGUCCUCUGCCCUAUGCGUGUUUAGGCAGCCUUUAGUAUAAUAGUUUACUAAUUGGGCUUAGUGGGGUAGAACUCGCUGAGACGUAGUCUCAUCCCAGUUUGGGGAAACCAUUUCAGGACCCCGCUGAAGAGCUGAGAAGGAGGAAUCCGAGAAGGAAGACUCGGAGGCGAAUCUUAAGGAAAAAGAUUUUUGAAGGAAGAAGGCAAUCCUGAUAGGGGCCUUGAGUACGGCCCAGUUCUUCUAAGUUUCUGUCUUCUUUUGAGAUCUCCAUUUUGAUGUGAAUAGUUUCGAAGUGGUUUAUGGUUUGUAUAAAAGUUUGGUUAUAAAUUUUCAAUAUGAAAAUAUGGCCCUGCUUUUCUAUCCCAAUGUUUUAUUGUCUGGGGAUUUUAACUGCUUCCGCAUGUGCUUAAUAAAUGAAAGGGUCGGCGAUACAUUGUCCUGGGAUAUCGCAUUAUAAAAUCGACCAAAUAGAAGGAUGUGCACGUGCCCGAGGAUCGGGGCGUGACAUUUCUUUUCUAUGACUACUCAGGUAUUAUUAUGCUUUUCUUUGGGGAAG
RNAcentral lists this long non-coding RNA (41949 nucleotides) under Eucalyptus grandis. RNAcentral describes it as "long non-coding RNA (EGRA_LNC002650)". The record is from RNAcentral. Lineage: Eukaryota; Viridiplantae; Streptophyta; Magnoliopsida; Myrtales; Myrtaceae.